GAUGAAGAACGUAGCGAAACGCGAUAAGUAAUGUGAAUUGCAGAAUCCAGUGAAUCAUCGAAUCUUUGAACGCACAUUGCGCCCGCUAGUAUUCUGGCGGGCAUGCCUGUCCGAGCGUCAUUUCAACCCUCAAGCCCCCGGGCUUGGUGUUGGGGAUCGGCGAGCCUCCGCGCCCGCCGUCCCCUAAAUCUAGUGGCGGUCUCGCUGUAGCUUCCUCUGCGUAGUAGCACACCUCGCACUGGGAAACAGCGCGGCCACGCCGUUAAACCCCCAACUUCUGAACGUUUGACCUCGGAUCAGGUAGGAAUACCCGCUGAACUUAAGCAUAUCAAUAAGCGGAGGA
This 343-nucleotide unclassified non-coding RNA is filed under the name soil metagenome. Its description in RNAcentral is "partial contains 5.8S ribosomal RNA, internal transcribed spacer 2, and large subunit ribosomal RNA". The stretch from base 1 to 120 matches the Rfam family "5.8S ribosomal RNA", at positions 35 to 154 of the family's 154-position model. The record is from RNAcentral.